AGGUACUAUGCAGAGUAUCAUCUCGGGCAGCUCAAGGCAAAAAUAGAAAAACUGAGGACACAAUUAUUGGAGCCUCCAAAAAGUAUCAUCUUGGGCAGCUCAAGACAAAAAUAGCAAAACUAAGGACACAAUUAUUGGAGUCUCCAAAAGUACCAUGCACAGUAUCAUCUCAGGCAGCUCAAGACAAAAAUAGCAAAACUAAGGACAUAAUUAUUGGAGCCUCCAAAAGUAU
Long non-coding RNA from Glycine soja, 232 nucleotides. RefSeq lists it as uncharacterized. NCBI's taxonomy places the organism in Eukaryota, Viridiplantae, Streptophyta, Magnoliopsida, Fabales, Fabaceae. The transcript is spliced from 3 exons. The record is from RefSeq and is a predicted model, not a curated record.